GUGAGUAGUUCAGAGUUUGAUCCUGGCUCAGGAUGAACGCUGGCGGCGUGCCUAACACAUGCAAGUCGAACGAAGCGAUCGGAAGUUUUCGGACAGAAGAUUGACUGAGUGGCGGACGGGUGAGUAACGCGUGGGUAACCUGCCUUAUACAGGGGGAUAACAGUUAGAAAUGACUGCUAAUACCGCAUAAUGUUGUCGGAUGGCAUCAUCUGACAACCAAAGCUUUUAUGUGCUGAAAGAUGGCCUCGCGUCUGAUUAGAUAGUUGGUGAGGUAACGGCUCACCAAGUCGACGAUCAGUAGCCGGACUGAGAGGUUGAACGGCCACAUUGGGACUGAGAUACGGCCCAG
Molecule: ribosomal RNA, 349 nt
Filed under: uncultured bacterium
Lineage: Bacteria
Description: bacterial SSU rRNA
Rfam family: Bacterial small subunit ribosomal RNA
Source: RNAcentral